CCUGUUUAUUAAAAACAUGGCUUUUUGAUAAUAAUUUAAGGUCUAGCCUGCCCAAUGAGUUUUAAAUGGCCGCAGUAUUUUAACUGUGCAAAGGUAGCAUAAUCAUUAGUUUUUUAAUUGAAAGCUGGAAUGAAAGGUUGGAUGAGAAAAUUACUGUCUCUAUUUAAAUUAUUAGAAUUUUAUUUUUAAGUGAAAAAGCUUAAAUAUUUAUAGAAGACGAGAAGACCCUAUAGAGUUUUAUAAAAUUUUAAUAAAAUUGUAUUUAGGAUUUUAAUAUUUAUUUAGGAUUUUAUUUAGUUGGGGUGACUGAAAAAUUAAAUUAACUUUUUCUUUAUAAAAACAUUUAUUUAUGAAUAAUUGAUCCUUUUAUAAGAUUAAAAGAUUAAAUUACCUUAGGGAUAACAGCGUAAUAUUUUUUUAGAGUUCUAAUCGAAAAAAAUGGUUGCGACCUCGAUGUUGGAUUAAAAUUAAUUCUUAGUGCAGAAGUUAAGAAAUUGGGUCUGUUCGACCUUUAAAAUUUUACAUGAUCUGAGUUUAAACCGGUGUGAGCCAGGUCGGUUUCUAUCU
This 567-nucleotide ribosomal RNA is filed under the name Camptorhinus sp. ARC2070. Its description in RNAcentral is "partial 16S ribosomal RNA". It matches the Rfam family "Bacterial large subunit ribosomal RNA", at positions 1799 to 2643 of the family's 2925-position model. The record is from RNAcentral. Lineage: Eukaryota; Metazoa; Arthropoda; Insecta; Coleoptera; Curculionidae.